AAUAAUGGUUCAUGUGAGAGAAAUAACAUGAUAUCAUCCUGAAAUAAUAUAAGCGGGGGGGGGGGGACGAGGUUGGUAGCCAUAAGUCAUUCGCUCGUUUCAAAGACUUCUUUCCCAGUGGCAUCCGCAGAAUAUGGCUACUACUACCUAAACUUGGCCAGAUUGGAGGUUGCUAGCGGGGAAGUUUUGGUUAUUAUUCAAUCUCGUUUUGGCCGGUUAUGGAGAUACAGACAAGGAAAGUGGCAUUCACUGGCGUGUGUUCUAGGAAAGAAGAGGUCAAGAGAUGCCAGACAACAGCGAGCACGGCGUGCAACGCACCCGUCGGGACAGGCUACCGGAGCGGUGUUCAUGACCACUCAUGCAGCUUGGGAGAGACGCCCGCAUUAAUGUACAACAAGUUGCCUGAAGCCCAGUUUGCAGGUUUGUGAGUUAUUAUGGGAUGAUUUAGAUGCCUGCUUUAUGCAUGGGGAUCAUACAUUGAAGAGGAGAGCGGUGAUGAAAACAUGCACUGUUUACCUGCACAUUUUCACGCCAUGAGACAAGCUUAUUUUAGGAUGCUAUUUGUAGUGUAUUCAAAACUUGAGCUCAAUGUGGUUCCUUGGUGUUGGCUUCUAUUAAGUGAGCUGCUUAUAUGUAGUACAUUUAUUGCAACAAUCCAAAUAUAUAUCAUUGAUUUGCAUGUCUCUA
Molecule: non-coding RNA, 687 nt
Organism: Lolium perenne
Lineage: Eukaryota; Viridiplantae; Streptophyta; Magnoliopsida; Poales; Poaceae
Source: RefSeq, a predicted model, not a curated record